Molecule: long non-coding RNA, 867 nt
Organism: Aedes aegypti (yellow fever mosquito)
Lineage: Eukaryota; Metazoa; Arthropoda; Insecta; Diptera; Culicidae
Exons: 3
Source: RefSeq, a predicted model, not a curated record
AUUUCUAUGACCAUAAUAAAAAUAAAAUAGUUUAAAAUCAUAAUUAGACAUCUAUAAACUAGAAAAAAAUGAAUAUCUGUGAUUCCAACGAAGUAGCAUCCUUGACAAGAAAUACUAUUUGGUACCGACUUGAUCAAAAUCACUCCAGUGAUCAAUUUGCCCCCGGAUUACGGUACUUUUGACAGAUGAGAUUUACAGAUCGUUCGGUGAAGUAAAAAUCACCGAACAGUUCACCGAUAUCUGCUGCCGAGAAUUCGGUGAAAUUUCACAGAAAUCUGUGAUAAAUUCUAAGCGUGUAGGGAACCGUGGGGUGAACGAGCAUGGCCCCAGUUUUUGAAUAGUUAGGGGCUUCAAAACAUGUCUACCUCGGAUCAUUGAUAACGUCGGAUAACAACUGCAGCAGAGAAAUUCGAAGACGUAUCAUUGCCGGAAGUCGUGCUUACUAUGGACUCCACAAGACCUUGCGGUCUGGUAAACUUCACUUCCGUACUAAGUGUACCAUGUAUGUUCGGAUCAGCGAGAAUAGACUGUCCGGUGGUGAAUCCCUCGACAGCUUGAUACUGCGAAAGCUCAGACAGAUGGGGACCAUGGGGAAACAUUAAUCUUUGAGCGUAAUAACCAAAAUCGCUUCAGAGAAGUUUUUCAUCCCUCCCACAAUCCGAACAAUGUACAAGACGCUAAGACCGGUAGCCCUCUAUGUUGAAAGGUUUACAAUUCAAUAUCCUACACAAAUAUCAUACCUCUCUCAACGAACUUCCACACUUUUACCUACGACGACGUAUGCUUCUCAACCGACGAUUCUUCUACCUGAGGUGCGACACUACCUCUAUUCCAACACUCUACGGGCGACAAUGCUCGAAGAGGACC